GACGAACGCUGGCGGCGUGCUUAACACAUGCAAGUCGAACGAUGAAGCCGGAGCUUGCUCCGGUGGAUUAGUGGCGAACGGGUGAGUAACACGUGAACAAUCUGCCCUUGACUCUGGGAUAACUGCGGGAAACUGUAGCUAAUACCGGAUACGACACCUUGGGGCAUCCCAGGGUGUGGAAAGAAUUUCGGUCAAGGAUGAGCUCGCGGCCUAUCAGCUAGUUGGUGAGGUAAUGGCUCACCAAGGCGACGACGGGUAGCCGGCCUGAGAGGGUGACCGGCCACACUGGAACUGAGACACGGUCCAGACUCCUACGGGAGGCAGCAGUGGGGAAUAUUGCACAAUGGGCGCAAGCCUGAUGCAGCAACGCCGCGUGAGGGAUGAAGGCCUUCGGGUUGUAAACCUCUUUUAGUAGGGAAGAAGCGAAAGUGACGGUACCUACAGAAAAAGCACCGGCUAACUACGUGCCAGCCGCCGCGGUAA
This 483-nucleotide ribosomal RNA is filed under the name uncultured bacterium. RNAcentral describes it as "partial 16S ribosomal RNA". It matches the Rfam family "Bacterial small subunit ribosomal RNA", at positions 28 to 523 of the family's 1533-position model. The record is from RNAcentral.